RNAcentral lists this transfer RNA (71 nucleotides) under Camelus bactrianus (Bactrian camel). It matches the Rfam family "tRNA". From Rfam's summary of the family: Transfer RNA (tRNA) molecules are approximately 80 nucleotides in length. Their secondary structure includes four short double-helical elements and three loops (D, anti-codon, and T loops). RNAcentral also lists the same sequence under 1 other name. The record is from Rfam by way of RNAcentral. Lineage: Eukaryota; Metazoa; Chordata; Mammalia; Artiodactyla; Camelidae.
GGGGAUAUAGCUUAGUGGUAGAGCAUGUGCUUAGCAUGCAUGGGACCUAGGUUCAAUCCCCAGUACCUCCA